GACGUAGGGGGCGAGCGUUGUCCGGAUUUAUUGGGCGUAAAGCGUGCGUAGGCGGCUGCGCAAGUCGGGUGUGAAACCCCGGGGCUCAACCCCGGAACUGCAUCCGAUACUGCGUGGCUAGAGGUAGGUAGGGGAGAUCGGAAUUCCUGGUGUAGCGGUGAAAUGCGCAGAUAUCAGGAGGAACACCGGUGGCGAAGGCGGAUCUCUGGGACGGUACUGACGCUGAGACGCGAAAGCGUGGGGAGCGAACAGG
This 253-nucleotide ribosomal RNA is filed under the name uncultured bacterium. RNAcentral's name for it is "partial 16S ribosomal RNA". It matches the Rfam family "Bacterial small subunit ribosomal RNA", at positions 524 to 776 of the family's 1533-position model. The record is from RNAcentral.